Molecule: ribosomal RNA, 519 nt
Filed under: uncultured Bacillus sp.
Lineage: Bacteria; Bacillati; Bacillota; Bacilli; Caryophanales; Bacillaceae
Description: bacterial SSU rRNA
Rfam family: Bacterial small subunit ribosomal RNA
Source: RNAcentral
AUGAACGCUGGCGGCGUGCCUAAUACAUGCAAGUCGAGCGAAUGGAUUGAGAGCUUGCUCUCAAGAAGUUAGCGGCGGACGGGUGAGUAACACGUGGGUAACCUGCCCAUAAGACUGGGAUAACUCCGGGAAACCGGGGCUAAUACCGGAUAACAUUUUGAACUGCAUGGUUCGAAAUUGAAAGGCGGCUUCGGCUGUCACUUAUGGAUGGACCCGCGUCGCAUUAGCUAGUUGGUGAGGUAACGGCUCACCAAGGCAACGAUGCGUAGCCGACCUGAGAGGGUGAUCGGCCACACUGGGACUGAGACACGGCCCAGACUCCUACGGGAGGCAGCAGUAGGGAAUCUUCCGCAAUGGACGAAAGUCUGACGGAGCAACGCCGCGUGAGUGAUGAAGGCUUUCGGGUCAUAAAACUCUGUUGUUAGGGAAGAACAAGUGUUAGUUGAAUAAGCUGGCACCUUGACGGUACCUAACCAGAAAGCCACGGCUAACUACGUGCCAGCAGCCGCGGUAAUACGU